UACGUAGGUGGCAAGCGUUGUCCGGAUUUACUGGGUGUAAAGGGCGUGUAGGCGGGACUGCAAGUCAGGCGUGAAAACCAGAGGCUCAACCUCUGGCCUGCGUUUGAAACUGCGGUUCUUGAGUACUGGAGAGGUUGACGGAAUUCCUUGUGUAGCGGUGAAAUGCGUAGAUAUAAGGAGGAACACCAGUGGCGAAGGCGGUCAACUGGACAGCAACUGACGCUGAGGCGCGAAAGCGUGGGGAGCAA
This 248-nucleotide ribosomal RNA is filed under the name uncultured Oscillospiraceae bacterium. RNAcentral describes it as "partial 16S ribosomal RNA". It matches the Rfam family "Bacterial small subunit ribosomal RNA", at positions 524 to 771 of the family's 1533-position model. The record is from RNAcentral. Lineage: Bacteria; Bacillati; Bacillota; Clostridia; Eubacteriales; Oscillospiraceae.